UUGAACGCUGGCGGCAUGCCUUACACAUGCAAGUCGAACGGUAACGCGGGGCAACCUGGCGACGAGUGGCGAACGGGUGAGUAAUGCAUCGGAACGUGCCCAGUAGUGGGGGAUAGCCCGGCGAAAGCCGGAUUAAUACCGCAUACGACCUACGGGUGAAAGGGGGGGAUCGCAAGACCUCUCGCUAUUGGAGCGGCCGAUGUCAGAUUAGGUUGUUGGUGGGGUAAAGGCCUACCAAGCCGACGAUCUGUAGCUGGUCUGAGAGGACGACCAGCCACACUGGGACUGAGACACGGCCCAGACUCCUACGGGAGGCAGCAGUGGGGAAUUUUGGACAAUGGGCGAAAGCCUGAUCCAGCCAUGCCGCGUGCGGGAAGAAGGCCUUCGGGUUGUAAACCGCUUUUGUCAGGGAAGA
This 415-nucleotide ribosomal RNA is filed under the name uncultured bacterium. Its description in RNAcentral is "bacterial SSU rRNA". It matches the Rfam family "Bacterial small subunit ribosomal RNA", at positions 29 to 448 of the family's 1533-position model. The record is from RNAcentral.